CCCAGACAGCCAGGAUGUUGGCUUAGAAGCAGCCAUCAUUUAAAGAAAGCGUAAUAGCUCACUGGUCGAGUCGGCCUGCGCGGAAGAUGUAACGGGGCUAAACCAUGCACCGAAGCUGCGGCAGCGAACGUAUCACCCAAGACAACUUUACGGAGUUGACGAUUGACGGAGCGAAGCGACGUCAAAGCGUUCAUUAAAGUCGAGUUGGCUUAGGGAUACGUUCGUUGGGUAGGGGAGCGUUCUGUAAGCCUGUGAAGGUGUGUCGUGAGGCAUGCUGGAGGUAUCAGAAGUGCGAAUGCUGACAUAAGUAACGAUAAAGCGGGUGAAAAGCCCGCUCGCCGGAAGACCAAGGGUUCCUGUCCAACGUUAAUCGGGGCAGGGUGAGUCGACCCCUAAGGC
This 399-nucleotide ribosomal RNA is filed under the name Salmonella enterica. RNAcentral describes it as "bacterial LSU rRNA". It matches the Rfam family "Bacterial large subunit ribosomal RNA", at positions 1084 to 1397 of the family's 2925-position model. Lineage: Bacteria; Pseudomonadati; Pseudomonadota; Gammaproteobacteria; Enterobacterales; Enterobacteriaceae. RNAcentral also lists the same sequence under 8 other names. The record is from RNAcentral.